UUAAUCCAUGGGAAUGAGGUUCUCCCUCGAUUUAUAUCGAAACCGCUAUUUGGCUAAUGACUUCUGUGUAAUA
This 73-nucleotide non-coding RNA is filed under the name Coprobacillus sp. RNAcentral's name for it is "Fluoride sequence". It matches the Rfam family "Fluoride riboswitch aptamer (crcB RNA motif)". The record is from RNAcentral. Lineage: Bacteria; Bacillati; Bacillota; Erysipelotrichia; Erysipelotrichales; Coprobacillaceae.